This 301-nucleotide ribosomal RNA is filed under the name uncultured bacterium. RNAcentral's name for it is "partial 16S ribosomal RNA". It matches the Rfam family "Bacterial small subunit ribosomal RNA", at positions 509 to 807 of the family's 1533-position model. The record is from RNAcentral.
CAGUCGCCGCGGGAAUACGUAGGGUGCGAGCGUUAAUCGGAAUUACUGGGCGUAAAGCGUGCGCAGGCGGUUUUGUAAGACAGAGGUGAAAUCCCCGGGCUCAACCUGGGAACUGCCUUUGUGACUGCAAGGCUAGAGUACGGCAGAGGGGGAUGGAAUUCCGCGUGUAGCAGUGAAAUGCGUAGAUAUGCGGAGGAACACCGAUGGCGAAGGCAAUCCCCUGGGCCUGUACUGACGCUCAUGCACGAAAGCGUGGGGAGUAAACAGGAUUAGAUACCCCCGUAGUCCCUGUCUCUUAUAC